GACGAACGCUGGCGGCGUGCUUAACACAUGCAAGUCGAACGGAAAGGCCCUGCUUUUGUGGGGUGCUCGAGUGGCGAACGGGUGAGUAACACGUGAGUAACCUGCCCUUGACUUUGGGAUAACUUCAGGAAACUGGGGCUAAUACCGGGUAGGAGCUCCUGCUGCAUGGUGGGGGUUGGAAAGUUUCGGCGGUUGGGGAUGGACUCGCGGCUUAUCAGCUUGUUGGUGGGGUAGUGGCUUACCAAGGCUUUGACGGGUAGCCGGCCUGAGAGGGUGACCGGCCACAUUGGGACUGAGAUACGGCCCAGACUCCUACGGGCGGCAGCAGUGGGGAAUAUUGCACAAUGGGCGGAAGCCUGAUGCAGCAACGCCGCGUGCGGGAUGACGGCCUUCGGGUUGUAAACCGCUUUCGCCUGUGACGAAGCGUGAGUGACGGUAAUGGGUAAAGAAGCACCGGCUAACUACGUG
RNAcentral lists this ribosomal RNA (468 nucleotides) under uncultured bacterium. Its description in RNAcentral is "partial 16S ribosomal RNA". It matches the Rfam family "Bacterial small subunit ribosomal RNA", at positions 28 to 507 of the family's 1533-position model. The record is from RNAcentral.